UGGGGGAUAUUGCACAAUGGGGGGAACCCUGAUGCAGCGACGCCGCGUGGGUGAAGAAGCGCCUCGGCGCGUAAAGCCCUGUCAGCAGGGAAGAAAUGACGGUACCUGAAGAAGAAGCCCCGGCUAACUACGU
RNAcentral lists this ribosomal RNA (133 nucleotides) under uncultured bacterium. RNAcentral's name for it is "partial 16S ribosomal RNA". It matches the Rfam family "Bacterial small subunit ribosomal RNA", at positions 355 to 506 of the family's 1533-position model. The record is from RNAcentral.